GGCGACACGGGGGAAACCCUAGAUCGAGGCGCCGCUCCUCCCUUUCCUCCCUUCCCUCGGCUCGCCGCUGCCGGAGGAGCGGCCGGCGAAGUCCGUGCCGGCUCCUGUGAAGGUGGCGGCGGGGCCCUUUCCUGUUCUUCGUCCACGAGCUUGGCGCGGCGGCUGCCGGACGGCGCGGGCGCGGCUGCUGCCUUGGAUGGCGCGGGACGGGGCCAAGGUGGCGCGGGGGCUCGCGCGCUAGCGACGGCCCUGGGCGACGCGGUGGCCCUGGA
Molecule: ribosomal RNA, 272 nt
Filed under: Triticum aestivum (bread wheat)
Lineage: Eukaryota; Viridiplantae; Streptophyta; Magnoliopsida; Poales; Poaceae
Description: partial small subunit ribosomal RNA
Source: RNAcentral